UGCAAGUCGAACGGAAAGGCCCUUCGGGGUGCUCGAGUGGCGAACGGGUGAGUAACACGUGGGUGAUCUGCCCUGCACUUUGGGAUAAGCCUGGGAAACUGGGUCUAAUACCGAAUAUGACUGCAUUCUUCAUGGGGUGUGGUGGAAAGCUUUUGCGGUGUGGGAUGGGCCCGCGGCCUAUCAGCUUGUUGGUGGGGUAAUGGCCUACCAAGGCGACGACGGGUAGCCGGCCUGAGAGGGUGACCGGCCACACUGGGACUGAGAUACGGCCCAGACUCCUACGGGAGGCAGCAGUGGGGAAUAUUGCACAAUGGGCGCAAGCCUGAUGCAGCGACGCCGCGUGAGGGAUGACGGCCUUCGGGUUGUAAACCUCUUUCAGCACAGACGAAGCGCAAGUGACGGUAUGUGCAGAAGAAGGACCGGCCAACUACGUGCCAGCAGCCGCGGUAAUACGUAGGGUCCGAGCGUUGUCCGGAAUUACUGGGCGUAAAGAGCUCGUAGGUGGUUUGUCGCGUUGUUCGUGAAAACUCACAGCUUAACUGUGGGCGUGCGGGCGAUACGGGCAGACUUGAGUACUGCAGGGGAGACUGGAAUUCCUGGUGUAGCGGUGGAAUGCGCAGAUAUCAGGAGGAACACCGGUGGCGAAGGCGGGUCUCUGGGCAGUAACUGACGCUGAGGAGCGAAAGCGUGGGGAGCGAACAGGAUUAGAUACCCUGGUAGUCCACGCCGUAAACGGUGGGUACUAGGUGUGGGUUUCCUUCCUUGGGAUCCGUGCCGUAGCUAACGCAUUAAGUACCCCGCCUGGGGAGUACGGCCGCAAGGCUAAAACUCAAAGAAAUUGACGGGGGCCCGCACAAGCGGCGGAGCAUGUGGAUUAAUUCGAUGCAACGCGAAGAACCUUACCUGGGUUUGACAUGCACAGGACGCCGGUAGAGAUAUUGGUUCCCUUGUGGCCUGUGUGCAGGUGGUGCAUGGCUGUCGUCAGCUCGUGUCGUGAGAU
RNAcentral lists this ribosomal RNA (1000 nucleotides) under Mycobacterium sp. RNAcentral describes it as "bacterial SSU rRNA". It matches the Rfam family "Bacterial small subunit ribosomal RNA", at positions 56 to 1073 of the family's 1533-position model. The record is from RNAcentral. Lineage: Bacteria; Bacillati; Actinomycetota; Actinomycetes; Mycobacteriales; Mycobacteriaceae.